Molecule: ribosomal RNA, 253 nt
Filed under: uncultured bacterium
Lineage: Bacteria
Description: partial 16S ribosomal RNA
Rfam family: Bacterial small subunit ribosomal RNA
Source: RNAcentral
UACGAAGGGGGCUAGCGUUGUUCGGAAUUACUGGGCGUAAAGCGCACGUAGGCGGAUACUUAAGUCAGGGGUGAAAUCCCGGGGCUCAACCCCGGGACUGCCUUUGAUACUGGCGAUCUCGAGUCCGGGAGAGGUGAGUAGAACUGCGAGUGUAGAGGUGAAAUUCGUAGAUAUUCGCAAGAACACCAGUGGCGAAGGCGAGUCCCUGGACGAUACCUGACACUGAGGCACGAAAGCCAAGGGAGCAAACAGG